Molecule: ribosomal RNA, 474 nt
Filed under: uncultured bacterium
Lineage: Bacteria
Description: bacterial SSU rRNA
Rfam family: Bacterial small subunit ribosomal RNA
Source: RNAcentral
GGGGGCCCGCAAGCGGUGGAGCAUGUGGUUUAAUUCGAUGCAACGCGAAGAACCUUACCUACUCUUGACAUCCAGAGAACUGAGCAGAGAUGUUCGGGUGCCUUCGGGAACUCUGAGACAGGUGCUGCAUGGCUGUCGUCAGCUCGUGUUGUGAAAUGUUGGGUUAAGUCCCGCAACGAGCGCAACCCUUAUCCUUUGUUGCCAGCGAUUCGGUCGGGAACUCAAAGGAGACUGCCGGUGAUAAACCGGAGGAAGGUGGGGAUGACGUCAAGUCAUCAUGGCCCUUACGAGUAGGGCUACACACGUGCUACAAUGGCGCAUACAAAGAGAAGCGACCCCGCGAGAGCAAGCGGACCUCAUAAAGUGCGUCGUACUCCGGAUUGGAGUCUGCAACUCGACUCCAUGAAGUCGGAAUCGCUAGUAAUCGUGAAUCAGAAUGUCACGGUGAAUACGUUCCCGGGCCUUGUACACACC